RNAcentral lists this transfer RNA (57 nucleotides) under Gnathostomula armata. RNAcentral describes it as "tRNA-Gly". Lineage: Eukaryota; Metazoa; Gnathostomulida; Bursovaginoidea; Gnathostomulidae. The record is from RNAcentral.
UAAUUAUUAGUAUAAAAAGAUUAUAUUAAUUUUCCAAAUUAAAGAUUUGAUGAUUAU